This 279-nucleotide ribosomal RNA is filed under the name uncultured bacterium. RNAcentral describes it as "partial 16S ribosomal RNA". It matches the Rfam family "Bacterial small subunit ribosomal RNA", at positions 506 to 784 of the family's 1533-position model. The record is from RNAcentral.
UGCCAGCCGCCGCGGUAAUACGUAGGUGGCAAGCGUUGUCCGGAAUUAUUGGGCGUAAAGCGCGCGCAGGCGGUUUCUUAAGUCUGAUGUGAAAGCCCACGGCUCAACCGUGGAGGGUCAUUGGAAACUGGGGAACUUGAGUGCAGAAGAGGAGAGUGGAAUUCCACGUGUAGCGGUGAAAUGCGUAGAGAUGUGGAGGAACACCAGUGGCGAAGGCGACUCUCUGGUCUGUAACUGACGCUGAGGCGCGAAAGCGUGGGUAGCGAACAGGAUUAGAUA